Non-coding RNA from Podarcis lilfordi (Lilford's wall lizard), 75 nucleotides. NCBI's taxonomy places the organism in Eukaryota, Metazoa, Chordata, Lepidosauria, Squamata, Lacertidae. The record is from the annotation of a GenBank genome assembly.
UCAAAAUAGCUCAGUUGGUAGUACAUAAGAUUCUAACUCUCAGGGUCAUGGGUUCAAGCCCUGUGUUGAGCAAAA